UACGUAGGUGGCAAGCGUUGUCCGGAUUUACUGGGUGUAAAGGGCGUGCAGCCGGGCUGACAAGUUAGAUGUGAAAUCCGGGGGCUCAACCCCCGAACUGCAUUUGAAACUGUUGGUCUUGAGUAUCGGAGAGGCAGGCGGAAUCCCUAGUGUAGCGGUGAAAUGCGUAGAUAUUAGGAAGAACACCAGUGGCGAAGGCGGCUUGCUGGACAGUAACUGACGUUGAGGCUCGAAAGCGUGGGGAGCAAACAGG
Molecule: ribosomal RNA, 253 nt
Filed under: uncultured bacterium
Lineage: Bacteria
Description: partial 16S ribosomal RNA
Rfam family: Bacterial small subunit ribosomal RNA
Source: RNAcentral